This 484-nucleotide ribosomal RNA is filed under the name uncultured bacterium. RNAcentral's name for it is "partial 16S ribosomal RNA". It matches the Rfam family "Bacterial small subunit ribosomal RNA", at positions 30 to 507 of the family's 1533-position model. The record is from RNAcentral.
AUUGAACGCUGGCGGCAGGCCUAACACAUGCAAGUCGAGCGGAUGAAGGGAGCUUGCUCCUGGAUGCAGCGGCGGACGGGUGAGUAAUGCGUAAGAAUCUGCCUGGCAGUGGGGGAUAACGUCCGGAAACGGGCGCUAAUACCCCAUACGUCCUGAGGCAGGAUGUGUGGGAUCUUCGGACCUGACGCUAUCUGAUGAGCCUCGGUCGGAUUAUCUAGUUGGUGGGGUAAAGGCCUACCACGGCGACGAUCCGUAACUGGUCUGAGAGGAUGAUCAGUCAGACUGCAGCUGAGACACGGUCCAGACUCCUACGAGAGGCAGCAGUGGGGAAUAUUGGACCAUGGGCGGAAGCCUGCUCCAGCCAUGCCGCGUGUGUGAAGAAGGUCUUCGGAUUGUAAAGAACUUUAUGUUGGGAGGAAGGGCAGUAAGUUAAUACCUUGCUGUUUUGACGUUACCAACAGAAUAAGCACCGGCUAACUUCGUG